Non-coding RNA from Acanthosepion pharaonis, 106 nucleotides. The record is from the annotation of a GenBank genome assembly. NCBI's taxonomy places the organism in Eukaryota, Metazoa, Mollusca, Cephalopoda, Sepiida, Sepiidae.
UAUCACGUUGAAACAUUGGUUCUCUUACGAUCACCGAAGUUAAGCAACGUUGAGCCUUGUCAGUACCUAGAUGGGUGAUCGUUUGGGGAAUACCACGCACUGUAAG